ACAGAGGGGGCAAGCGUUGUUCGGAAUUACUGGGCGUAAAGGGCGCGUAGGCGGCCUGCUAAGUCGAACGUGAAAUCCCUGGGCUCAACCCAGGAACUGCGUCCGAUACUGGUUGGCUUGAAUCCGGGAGAGGGAUGUGGAAUUCCAGGUGUAGCGGUGAAAUGCGUAGAUAUCUGGAGGAAUACCGGUGGCGAAGGCGGCAUUCUGGACCAACACUGACGCUGAGGAGCGAAAGCCAGGGGAGCAAACGGGA
RNAcentral lists this ribosomal RNA (253 nucleotides) under uncultured prokaryote. RNAcentral describes it as "partial 16S ribosomal RNA". It matches the Rfam family "Bacterial small subunit ribosomal RNA", at positions 525 to 777 of the family's 1533-position model. The record is from RNAcentral.